CCUACGGGGGGCAGCAGUGAGGAAUAUUGGUCAAUGGACGAGAGUCUGAACCAGCCAAGUAGCGUGAAGGAUGACUGCCCUAUGGGUUGUAAACUUCUUUUAUAUGGGAAUAAAACGUUCCACGUGUGGGAUUUUGUAUGUACCAUAUGAAUAAGGAUCGGCUAACUCCGUGCCAGCAGCCGCGGUAAUACGGAGGAUCCGAGCGUUAUCCGGAUUUAUUGGGUUUAAAGGGAGCGUAGGUGGAUUGUUAAGUCAGUUGUGAAAGUUUGCGGCUCAACCGUAAAAUUGCAGUUGAAACUGGCAGUCUUGAGUACAGUAGAGGUGGGCGGAAUUCGUGGUGUAGCGGUGAAAUGCUUAGAUAUCACGAAGAACUACGAUUGCGAAGGCAGUUCACUGGACUGCAACUGACACUGAGGCUCGAAAGUGUGGGUAUCAAACAGGAUUAGAUACCCCAGUAGUC
RNAcentral lists this ribosomal RNA (460 nucleotides) under uncultured bacterium. RNAcentral's name for it is "partial 16S ribosomal RNA". It matches the Rfam family "Bacterial small subunit ribosomal RNA", at positions 338 to 795 of the family's 1533-position model. The record is from RNAcentral.